Molecule: ribosomal RNA, 253 nt
Filed under: uncultured bacterium
Lineage: Bacteria
Description: partial 16S ribosomal RNA
Rfam family: Bacterial small subunit ribosomal RNA
Source: RNAcentral
UACAGAGGUCUCGAGCGUUAGGCGGAAUCACUGGGCUUAAAGCGUGUGUAGGCGGAUCGGUAAGUACCUUGUGAAAUCCCACAGCUUAACUGUGGAACUGCUUGGUAUACUGCCAGUCUUGAGCCAGCUAGGGGCUACCGGAACAAAUGGUGGAGCGGUGAAAUGCGUAGAUAUGUGGAGGAAUACCGAUGGCGAAGGCAGCCCCCUGGGAUAACACUGACGCUCAUGCACGAAAGCGUGGGGAGCAAACAGG